This 75-nucleotide transfer RNA is filed under the name Candidatus Woesearchaeota archaeon. Its description in RNAcentral is "tRNA-Met". It matches the Rfam family "tRNA". From Rfam's summary of the family: Transfer RNA (tRNA) molecules are approximately 80 nucleotides in length. Their secondary structure includes four short double-helical elements and three loops (D, anti-codon, and T loops). The record is from RNAcentral. Lineage: Archaea; Nanobdellati; Candidatus Woesearchaeota.
GCCGCGGUAGCAUAACUUGGUUAUUGCGCCGGACUCAUAAUCCGGAGGUCGCGCGUUCAAAUCCCGCCCGCGGCA